This 149-nucleotide signal recognition particle RNA is filed under the name Gorilla gorilla gorilla (western lowland gorilla). Its description in RNAcentral is "Metazoan signal recognition particle RNA". It matches the Rfam family "Metazoan signal recognition particle RNA". Rfam says of the family: The signal recognition particle (SRP) is a universally conserved ribonucleoprotein. It is involved in the co-translational targeting of proteins to membranes. The record is from Rfam by way of RNAcentral. Lineage: Eukaryota; Metazoa; Chordata; Mammalia; Primates; Hominidae.
GCUGGGUGUGGUGGUGCAUGCCUGUAGUCCCCGCUACUCAGGAGGCUGAGGUGGGAGGAUCACUUGAGCCCAGGAAUUGGAGGCUGCAGUGAGCUAUGAUCGUGCCACUGUACCCCAGCCUGGGCAACAUAGUGAGACCCCCACCUCUA